GACAGAGGGUGCAAACGUUGUUCGGAUUUACUGGGCGUAAAGCGCGUGUAGGCGGCUUUGCAAGUCGGAUGUGAAAGCCCACGGCUCAACCGUGGAAGUGCAUCCGAAACUGCAUGGCUGGAGUCCCGGAGAGGAAGGUGGAAUGCUUGGUGUAGAGGUGAAAUUCGUAGAUAUUCGGAGGAACACCAGUGGCGAAGGCGGCUCACUGGUCCGGUACUGACGCUGAGGUGCGAAAGCGUGGGGAGCAAACAGG
Molecule: ribosomal RNA, 253 nt
Filed under: uncultured bacterium
Lineage: Bacteria
Description: partial 16S ribosomal RNA
Rfam family: Bacterial small subunit ribosomal RNA
Source: RNAcentral